AUUUUAUAUUGGAAAUUUCCCCAGAUUAAUUUUUACUUGACAAAAUGCUGUAUCCCGAUGAAAAACAUUUUAGUUUUUCCCUAUUCUCUUAAAAUCUAAAAGUGUUUAAUGCUCCUAAGCCAUGUGUGCUAGCCUAGUUAUCCAAGCAAAUCACAUCCAAUAAUACUAUUCAAAAACCAAACCCAUAAGGAGCGGCAAAAUGCUGCAAUUUCUACAGGACAUCGUCGAUUGGUUCUUUCACUACUAUCGCUAUUUUUGGCUGGCAGCCAUUGUGGCCAUUCCGUAUCUUUCUUAUCGAUCCAAACAGAACGAUUUCAAUAUGCUGGAUGGCGUGAUAAUGUACACAAUUGUGUUCAUUGGAGCCUUUGGACUGAUUCAGGACGAGAGGCGGGGUCGUCCUCGUUAGCACAACCUGCUGAAAUAGCCCUCAUCAUCGAAGAGAUGCGAAAACCCGUUUAUCAGCUAGAGACACUCGACAACUAACCGAAAACAAAAAGUAAUUUCAAUUAAUGACUUGCCCCACAGAAGAGCCGCUUGAUUGAUAUGUAUUACGUAUUUCAUUUUUUUUGUGCUACCUUUCGCCGGCGAGAUUGUUGGCGAGGCCGAAACCCGCCAAUCCGACGAGGCAUAAAGUCAAGCUGCACACGAUUCCCUGCCACAUUUUUGCCAUGUAUAUGGAUAUUGUAUAUAUACAAUAGUAUAUGCUGUACACUUGCACCGAG
Long non-coding RNA from Drosophila teissieri, 722 nucleotides. RefSeq lists it as uncharacterized. The transcript is spliced from 3 exons. NCBI's taxonomy places the organism in Eukaryota, Metazoa, Arthropoda, Insecta, Diptera, Drosophilidae. The record is from RefSeq and is a predicted model, not a curated record.